Molecule: long non-coding RNA, 606 nt
Organism: Arachis ipaensis
Lineage: Eukaryota; Viridiplantae; Streptophyta; Magnoliopsida; Fabales; Fabaceae
Source: RefSeq, a predicted model, not a curated record
GUUCCUAUAUCAAAUAAGAAAAAUCUGUCAAAUUUAUUUUUAAUCUUGUCCACCCUAAUGGCAGAACCUAAGUUUUCGUGAAGAUUCUAUUUAUCAUGUCCAAAUUACAAAGACAAUUGCAGUAUAAUAGGAUGUGCAGUAUUUCAUUCAUAAUAUUCAAUUUACCAUCACAAGUAUUCAGAUCACAAACUGGGCAUCGUACAAGCUGCAGGUCUGAAAAUUUAACCGUAUCAACAAAUAUAAGUUCUUUUCAAUAGUCCUGAGAUAUAGAAGUUGGCUUGGUUGGGAGGUACCAGCUAUCCAGAUUCCAGGUUUAACGUUUUCUACCACGCAACAACCUUGGGACCGCAACAUCUUUUCCAAGGUUUCACGCUCCUUGAUCUUCCCCGGAAAAGAAAGCCUCUCAGCCAGGAUGGCUACUGAAGAAUCAAAAGAAAAAGCGCCAAUACGCAUCCAAUCUGAUAGCACAUUGGAAACAGUUAGUUACAAGAUCAAUAAUUUUGCUUAUGCUCCCUGUGAACACAUUAACAAUUGUGCAUGGAAUCUACUACAAUUUGUUGUGAGUUACACGGCCUUUGCAAUAAUAUUAUCGUCUCCUACGUUUAA